UAUAGUAUACUGUAAAUACAGUUCCUAUCUCUACUUUCCGUUUCCCGUAAGGAGAAGCAGAGCCAACGGUAAUGUCUGCUUCCCUCUCCUCGCCUUUUCUUUAUAAACACAGUUCCUAACUCUAUUUUCCGUUUCCCAAAAGGAGAAGCAGAGCCAAAUAUAAUGCCUGCUUCUCUCUCCUCGCUUUUUUUUCCACUUCCCUCUUCCGCUUCUCCUUCAAAUUCCAACGCUCACUUUUCUCCUUCACCUCCUUCUCCACGACACUGUCUCAUUCCAAAAUCAAACCACCACCGCCACCACCGUCGUCGUCUCUCUCUUUAUUUCCUCUCAAUAACCUCGUGUAAACGCUGAAUUCACUGGCUCCUCUUCCUCUUCAUCGAUGCCUCCAGAAGUCUCUUCCUCCUCUCAGUUCAGGACAGUUUGCUAUAUUCAAGGGCAUUUUGGGUAACUCAAUCUAUAAUCGCGUGGAGUGCGGAUACUGUUAGAGACGGUUAUUGUUAUUAAUACGCUAGCCAAACCGCUGCAUUAACCGUUACGGAUACUGAAGUGGAAGAAAAUCAAGAUUGAAGAAGACAGCGGUGGCCUUCCAUGACAUGUAAUUGCGAACAAAGCUUUCGAAGAGCCUUCAAUUGUGGAUGCCAAAUCUCUCGUGGAAUGCCAAUUAGCCGUCGCGGCAUUCAGCUCUGAUGGGAAAUGCAGCAAGCUACUGGUUUGCAGUUACCUGGUAUUCUGAAUGAAUUGUUUGCGAAUUAAUGAUGGUCAAUCGGUGUGCAUUAUUAAGAACAUGCUGGGUUUGCUCUAUCUAUGGGCUCACACUGCUCAGGUGUAUGACAUUUUGAAACAGAUUCUCUUGUUUUGUUUGUUUUCUAUGAACUUGUCUUCUUCUAUGCGAUAGGUAAUGUUUUAUUAUUAUUAUUAUUAUUAUUGCUUCUAAAAAGACAGUGCGUACCUGCAUUUAUAAGAAUGUGGAUAGCAGGGGUGUCAUGUAAGUUAUUCAGUUGAAGGAGUGUGGAGUGUGGAGUAUUGAAGGAGGUUAUUGGGAAGGUUGUUAUUUUUUGUAUGAAGUGUCUGUCUACCAUCCUAGCAUCUUACACGUUGAAAAAUGCUAUGCAGAUGAUCCAUAUGCUAGAGCGCUUGUUGGGUGUCUCAGUUUGCCAACAAUUCUGUGAAAUAGUUAAAUUGUUUCCUUGCUCUGAAAUUAUGCAGCUUUGCUGAUCAUCUCAAUAUGUUUGUAUUUGUAUUUUGUGCAUACAAAUGUGUAAAAUUCCUCUGAUUUUAUGCUGUUUCUUUGUUAGAAGGCUCUCACCAGAUAGCCAGAGGACAUCAUUUGUGAAUCUUGAUUCAGAUAUUUUAUUGGCCUUCAUGUUGUGUUGGGCGCUGUCUGCAAUCAUUUGCAUGGAAAUGGGCCCUUUGAUGAGAAUUAUGUUCUUGACAAUGUUCUUAUAAUUAUUGUUCUUUUGAUAUCCAGUCAAACUACGCUUUCCUCACAGUACUUAUGGCCUGAAUAAUCUCGAAAGCUUUGCCAGCUAUAACUGGAGUGAUGCUAUUCCUUGAUCAUUUCACAAAUUUUAGUACAAUCCUUCAAAUAAUUACUCUCAUACUUGAAUGUUAUUCUGUAAUGAUAAUUUCAUCAUCCUUCUUUUUCCUUC
This is a long non-coding RNA of Populus trichocarpa (black cottonwood), 1649 nucleotides long. RefSeq lists it as uncharacterized. The transcript is spliced from 4 exons. The record is from RefSeq and is a predicted model, not a curated record. NCBI's taxonomy places the organism in Eukaryota, Viridiplantae, Streptophyta, Magnoliopsida, Malpighiales, Salicaceae.